RNAcentral lists this transfer RNA (78 nucleotides) under Desulfonema magnum. Its description in RNAcentral is "tRNA-Ala". It matches the Rfam family "tRNA". Rfam says of the family: Transfer RNA (tRNA) molecules are approximately 80 nucleotides in length. Their secondary structure includes four short double-helical elements and three loops (D, anti-codon, and T loops). Further hydrogen bonds mediate the characteristic L-shaped molecular structure. tRNAs have two regions of fundamental functional importance: the anti-codon, which is responsible for specific mRNA codon recognition, and the 3' end, to which the tRNAs corresponding amino acid is attached (by aminoacyl-tRNA synthetases). tRNAs cope with the degeneracy of the genetic code in two manners: having more than one tRNA (with a specific anti-codon) for a particular amino acid; and 'wobble' base-pairing, i.e. permitting non-standard base-pairing at the 3rd anti-codon position. Lineage: Bacteria; Pseudomonadati; Thermodesulfobacteriota; Desulfobacteria; Desulfobacterales; Desulfococcaceae. The record is from RNAcentral.
GGGGAUGUAGCUCAGUUUUGGGAGAGCGCAGCAUUCGCAUUGCUGAGGUCGGGGGUUCGAGUCCCCUCAUCUCCACCA